UACGAAGGGUGCAAGCGUUAUUCGGAUUUAUUGGGUGUAAAGGGUGUGUAGACGGCAUGUUAAGUCCGCUGUUAAAUUUCCCGGCCUAACUGGGAGCCAGCGGUGGAUACUGGCGUGCUAGAGGAUGGAAGAGAGAAGUGGAAUUCCCGGAGUAGCGGUAAAAUGCGUAGAUCUCGGGAGGAACACCAAUGGCGAAGGCAGCUUCUUGGUCCAUAUCUGACGUUGAGACACGAAAGCGUGGGGAGCAAACAGG
RNAcentral lists this ribosomal RNA (253 nucleotides) under uncultured bacterium. RNAcentral describes it as "partial 16S ribosomal RNA". It matches the Rfam family "Bacterial small subunit ribosomal RNA", at positions 524 to 776 of the family's 1533-position model. The record is from RNAcentral.